AUCGCUUCUCGGCCUUUUGGCUAAGAUCAAGUGUAGUAUCCUUACUGGGUCAAGCAGUGACCUGCCUAGUCUAU
This is a non-coding RNA of Podarcis lilfordi (Lilford's wall lizard), 74 nucleotides long. The record is from the annotation of a GenBank genome assembly. Lineage: Eukaryota; Metazoa; Chordata; Lepidosauria; Squamata; Lacertidae.